RNAcentral lists this ribosomal RNA (539 nucleotides) under uncultured bacterium. Its description in RNAcentral is "bacterial SSU rRNA". It matches the Rfam family "Bacterial small subunit ribosomal RNA", at positions 355 to 912 of the family's 1533-position model. The record is from RNAcentral.
UGGGGAAUCUUGGACAAUGGGGGCAACCCUGAUCCAGCCAUGCCGCGUGAGUGAUGAAGGCCUUAGGGUCGUAAAGCUCUUUCGCCUGUGAAGAUAAUGACGGUAGCAGGUAAAGAAACCCCGGCUAACUCCGUGCCAGCAGCCGCGGUAAUACGGAGGGGGUUAGCGUUGUUCGGAAUUACUGGGCGUAAAGCGCACGUAGGCGGACCAGAAAGUUGGGGGUGAAAUCCCGGGGGCUCAACCCCGGAACUGCCUCCAAAACUAUUGGUCUAGAGUUCGAGAGAGGUGAGUGGAAUUCCAAGUGUAGAGGUGAAAUUCGUAGAUAUUUGGAGGAACACCAGUGGCGAAGGCGGCUCACUGGCUCGAUACUGACGCUGAGGUGCGAAAGUGUGGGGAGCAAACAGGAUUAGAUACCCUGGUAGUCCACACCGUAAAACGAUGAAUGCCAGUCGUCGGGUAGCAUGCUAUUCGGUGACACACCUACGGAUUAAGCAUUCCGCCUGGGAGUACGGUCGCAAGAUUAAAACUCAAAGGAAUUG